UACGGAGGGUGCAAGCGUUAAUCGGAAUUACUGGGCGUAAAGGGUGCGUAGGCGGUUGUUUAAGUCUGUUGUGAAAUCCCCGGGCUCAACCUGGGAAUGGCAAUGGAUACUGGGCAGCUAGAGUGUGUCAGAGGAUGGUGGAAUUCCCGGUGUAGCGGUGAAAUGCGUAGAGAUCGGGAGGAACACCGAUGGCGAAGGCAGGUCUCUGGGCUGACACUGACGCUCAUGCACGAAAGCGUGGGGAGCAAACAGG
RNAcentral lists this ribosomal RNA (253 nucleotides) under uncultured bacterium. Its description in RNAcentral is "partial 16S ribosomal RNA". It matches the Rfam family "Bacterial small subunit ribosomal RNA", at positions 524 to 776 of the family's 1533-position model. The record is from RNAcentral.